GGAAUAUUGGACAAUGGGGGAAACCCUGAUCCAGCCAUGCCGCGUGGAUGAUGAAGGCCUUAGGGUUGUAAAGUCCUUUUAACGGGGAAGAUAAUGACGGUACCCGUAGAAUAAGCCCCGGCUAACUUCGUGCCAGCAGCCGCGGUAAUACGAAGGGGGCUAGCGUUGCUCGGAAUCACUGGGCGUAAAGCGCACGUAGGCGGAUUCUUAAGUCGGGGGUGAAAUCCUGGAGCUCAACUCCAGAACUGCCUUCGAUACUGGGAAUCUUGAGUCCGGGAGAGGUGAGUGGAACUGCGAGUGUAGAGGUGAAAUUCGUAGAUAUUCGCAAGAACACCAGUGGCGAAGGCGGCUCACUGGCCCGGUACUGACGCUGAGGUGCGAAAGCGUGGGGAGCAAA
Molecule: ribosomal RNA, 397 nt
Filed under: uncultured bacterium
Lineage: Bacteria
Description: bacterial SSU rRNA
Rfam family: Bacterial small subunit ribosomal RNA
Source: RNAcentral